AUUGUGGGAGGCUCUUUUUAUGGCCCAUCACGUCUCUCUAUUAAUUAGUGGAGGUAAUCAUGAGAAGGGCAAGCUCUCCAUGCCCUCCUGCCGCUACCUAUCAGCCUAUGCUAUUAAUACGGACGGCUUCCCACACGCUAUGAAGUAAUAUUGCUAGGUACAAUUUUUGAGAAUAUUUAAUAGAUAAAAACUUUUUUGACUGAUCAUGUUCUCCCACGGCUCCAGC
This 226-nucleotide long non-coding RNA is filed under the name Elaeis guineensis (African oil palm). RNAcentral's name for it is "long non-coding RNA (EGUI_LNC013514)". The record is from RNAcentral. Lineage: Eukaryota; Viridiplantae; Streptophyta; Magnoliopsida; Arecales; Arecaceae.